This 218-nucleotide long non-coding RNA is filed under the name Lathyrus oleraceus (garden pea). RNAcentral's name for it is "Pisum sativum (pea) long non-coding RNA (PSAT_LNC013620)". The record is from RNAcentral. Lineage: Eukaryota; Viridiplantae; Streptophyta; Magnoliopsida; Fabales; Fabaceae.
UUAACAUUAAAAUUUUCAGGAGUAAAAGUUAAAUAUGAGAUAUUUAGAAGGACCAAAAACAUAUUUAACUCUAAUUAUUACUUUCUUUUUAUAAUUAGUUUUGAUUUCAAAUUUUUUUUAAAACAAUUUAUUUUCAGGAUUUUUUUAUAAAAAUAUUUAUAUAUUUUUUUAAAAAUAUAAAUUUUCUAUUUUUUUAUUUUCAAGAAAUUUUGUUUUCA